Molecule: long non-coding RNA, 713 nt
Organism: Mauremys reevesii (Reeves's turtle)
Lineage: Eukaryota; Metazoa; Chordata; Testudines; Geoemydidae
Exons: 5
Source: RefSeq, a predicted model, not a curated record
CUAAUAAGAAAAGUCUGUCAUCUGUACGUGGAAGUGUUAAAGUUGAAAAGUUUCACAUAUAAGGGGAAGUCAGAGUCUGCUAAUCAGGUUCUUACCGACUACCUAGGACAGCAUCAUUAUACCAUUUCACUUUAAAAGAAAAAUAAGUAAGAAAGAUUUCAAACUUAACAUCACUGACAAGGCAACAGUAGAGGGACCAUUUGAAUUCAAGGCAGGGUUCCUCCCUGCCACAUCGGACUCCUGCAGCAGCUUCCAUCUGCUUGAGUUGGUGAAAAUGGCUGAAGACCAUGAACAGAUCAGCUCCUGCCUUUUGUACCUUUCCAGUCCCUCUGUCUAGAGGAUAAGCCUGCUCAGAGAUCUUCAGACAAGAGUCUUAAAGAACCUGUAAUAAGGUCUCAGGGAAAUCUUUCAGUGGGAACAUCCGAAGGACAAAUCAAGGACAAUAUUCACUUUUGAAGCUGUUCAAAGGAAGAUGAUGUUUUAAAACUCCCAUGAGUUAAUUCACCUGACUUUCACAGAAUCUUCCAUCCUGGAAAGAGACCAUGAAAUACCAGUUUUCCUCCUCUUGAGCAAAGGGAAAUUCAAAAUAAUUUCCCACUGCACCACAUACAGACACACACUCAGCUUGUUCUGUUUUCUGCUUAUAUUUUGCUCAGUACCACCUGGGCUAAUAGCAAGCAGAAAGAAAGCAAUAAAUCUCUCUCACUUUGAAG